Molecule: ribosomal RNA, 490 nt
Filed under: uncultured bacterium
Lineage: Bacteria
Description: partial 16S ribosomal RNA
Rfam family: Bacterial small subunit ribosomal RNA
Source: RNAcentral
AUUGAACGCUGGCGGCAGGCCUAACACAUGCAAGUCGAACGGUAACAGAAAGCAGCUUGCUGCUUUGCUGACGAGUGGCGGACGGGUGAGUAAUGUCUGGGAAACUGCCUGAUGGAGGGGGAUAACUACUGGAAACGGUAGCUAAUACCGCAUAACGUCGCAAGACCAAAGAGGGGGACCUUCGGGCCUCUUGCCAUCGGAUGUGCCCAGAUGGGAUUAGCUAGUAGGUGGGGUAACGGCUCACCUAGGCGACGAUCCCUAGCUGGUCUGAGAGGAUGACCAGCCACACUGGAACUGAGACAUGGUCCAGACUCCUACGGGAGGCAGCAGUGGGGAAUAUUGCACAAUGGGCGCAAGCCUGAUGCAGCCAUGCCGCGUGUAUGAAGAAGGCCUUCGGGUUGUAAAGUACUUUCAGCGGGGAGGAAGGGAGUAAAGUUAAUACCUUUGCUCAUUGACGUUACCCGCAGAAGAAGCACCGGCUAACUCCGUG